RNAcentral lists this long non-coding RNA (619 nucleotides) under Olea europaea subsp. europaea. The record is from RNAcentral. Lineage: Eukaryota; Viridiplantae; Streptophyta; Magnoliopsida; Lamiales; Oleaceae.
AUGUUGGGAGUCCCCACUUAUAUUUCAAUAAGGCUACUCAGCCAAGUCUAAAAACAGGGUGGAAAAUAGGCAUUUCAAUUUGCUAAGGUGGCACUUAAAAUCCAAUAAAAAAACAAUAUCAAAACAAAAAGGGCAAAAGCAGGCUAAAACCAAAUAGAUAUACAAAACGAGCUGCUGCAAGGAAAAAAAAUCAAUUCGGCCGCAUUUCCAAACUCUCCCUCCUGCCCGCGCCUUCACCGACCGAAGCACCCUUCGUUGACGAGUAUACCGCUAGUCACCUUCCAAGAAGUGGGAGAAAUGGCUUAAAAAAAACGAACUCGUGUAUCUCCCACAUUUGAAAGCCCAAAAAUGACCUUUUAUUCCUGUUUUUCCUUCCAUAAUCUCCGGUCGUUGUCAAACAAUCUGACCAAGUGACUCCGUCAAUGUCUUCUCAAGAUGGUAGGUACAUGAGAUAAAAAGCUAAUCUUUCUGGAUGAUUUAGCUCACUGGAUUGAGAUUCCGAAGGAGUGUGUGCAAUCAUACAGUACAGUGCUUGCGAUUCGUCCACCAUCCAAUUCUCAACAAAAGGAUAUCGUGGCUAAGAUAAAUAAGGGUUUGAAGUGAGAAAAAGUGUUGUAAA